This 301-nucleotide ribosomal RNA is filed under the name uncultured Pyrobaculum sp. RNAcentral describes it as "bacterial SSU rRNA". It matches the Rfam family "Bacterial small subunit ribosomal RNA", at positions 495 to 795 of the family's 1533-position model. Lineage: Archaea; Thermoproteati; Thermoproteota; Thermoprotei; Thermoproteales; Thermoproteaceae. The record is from RNAcentral.
UGCUUGUUGUGUGAGAGGAGACGAGGGAAUACGGGGGUAGCAGGAUGUAUCCUGAAUUAGUGGGUUUAUAGGGUAAAUAAACAGGUUUAUAAGUUAGCGGUGAAAGUUUUUGACUUAAGCAAAAAAUUGAAAUUGAUACUGUAGGGCGUGAAUAUUUGUGAAGUAACUAGAAUAUGUAGUGUAGCGGUGAAAUGCUUAGAUAGUACAUGGAAUACCAAUUGCGAAGGCAGGUUACUAACAAAUGAUUGACGCUGAUGGACGAAAGCGUGGGUAGCGAACAGGAUUAGAUACCCGAGUAGUC